AUUUGCACACUUGCUUGCCACUGCGCAGCGAGCCCCUAACCCCGCCGCCGCGGCCGGGUGGGUCUCGGGCAGAGUCGGCCUCCGAAGCCCCCGCCCCCGCCCCCGCCCCCGAGGUCGAGCGCCGGCCAAGUCCGCGGACGUAGCACUCAACGAACGCGUUGAUCCCUCCGCGCGGGAGACGAGGACAGCGGCCCCUUCCUCACUAGAUUCAGCCCUACAGCCCAUCCUUGAUAGGUAAACAUUUCAGGGGGUCUCUUAGAUGUUUUGGGGGGGCACUAGUUAUCUCUCCAAAGGGCCUGAAGUGUGAGAAAAGUAGUCCCUUCUCGGCGUUUCUGCGGAGGGAUCCAUUGGAGCGGGGCUACCGAAUGCUAUAUAAGGAGGCGCCGGGUGUGGCGCAGGCAGUUCCGAGGAGGCCGGGAGUUCAGUUUUCCUUCCUUUGCGUGUGCUGCUGUCACAGCCUCUUGGGGUCUGAAAGUUGGCUUUGGAGCUUAUUUGAGCUUAGGGAGCCUGUCCUAUUUUUUCCGGUUAGCUUUCUUAGACAAUGCAGAUCUUCGUGAAGACCUUUGACCGGUAAGACCAUCACCCUGGAGGUGGAGCCCAGCGACACCAUCGAGAAUGUCAAGGCGAAGAUCCAGGACAAGGAGGGCAUCCCCCCGGACCAGCAGAGGUUGAUCUUUGCCGGGAAACAGCUGGAAGAUGGGCGCACCCUGUCUGACUACAACAUCCAGAAGGAAUCCACUCUGCACUUGGUCCUGCGCUUGAGGGGAGGGGUCUAAGUUCCCCCUUUCAAGCUGCUGACAAAAUACAUUGCACUUUUCUUUCAAUAAAGUUGUUGCAUUCCCAAAUAGUGUGAGUUUUUAUGGGGAGAGGUGCUCUCUUUCGUUUGGAUGGGGUUUGAGGGGGUCAGGGUUUUCAGUCUAUCAAGUGAUUUUAGUAACCAGAAGGUCUUAAAAAAUUCAGAGGUUGCAGUUAGGAUUCUCCGUAUGUAGCUUACAUGUAGGUGUACUCGUAAACCUACUGAUUUUUGGGGGCACCUGGGUGGCUCAGUCGUUAAGCGUCUUGUCUUCAGCUCAGGGUGUGAUCCUGGCGUUAUGGGAUCGAGCCCCACAUCAGGCUCCUCCACUGGAAGCCUGCUGCUUCCUCUCCCACUCCCCCUGCUUGUGUUCCCUCUCUCUCUCUGGCUGUCUCUCUGUCAAAUAAAAAAACCUUGAAAAAUGAAAAUAAAUAAACCUACUGAUUUUAAAAAUACUGAAGUUGAGGUUGGUUUGUGAGGUAACAGUGGGAAAGUUUCUGGGCUGCCAGCAGGAGGGAGAUACUACAAAGAGGGUGGGGGUGGUGAAAUCUACAGAAGAACCCGGUUUAAUGCAUAGGUCUAUUGAAAUUUGAACUGCACAGAAAGCCGUUUUACCAGGUAUUUUAAAAAGAAUGGCAAAUAAUGUAUAUAAAAAGUGUGUCUGGCAUUAUGCUCAGAAGUUUAGGAAUCAGUGGUUAUUUAGAUAAUGACGAUUGUUAAUAGAAAUGUAAGUUGUCAAGAUGAUCCUUAAUUUCCUAAGACUACAGAUGAAGGAUUUGUAUAUAACAAUUGGUGGGAGAGGCGACUGUCUCUGUCUUUACUUGGGAAAGUUUAUAGUAGCUUUUACCCCAUCAGAUGCUGCUCGUGAGGAAUUCUUUGUCAACUACAAGCAAAGGUGGAAGUCCAGGGAAGCUGGUUGAAUGUAAGGAGUCGCCACCUGGUGGUAGGUACCCCAGACAUCAAAACCAUUAAGGGACUGUGCCCAGGGCAAAGCACCGCUGUUGUCCCCUUCCCCAGUUUUAGGGUAUCCAUGUGCAACCUCAGGUGUGCAGCAAACUUUUGUGUUGUCGACCAAAAGUAAAAUAGCUUAAGUCCACAUCCUUGGCUUUAGGGAUCAAACUAGAAAAUGCCACUUGAGAAAUACGUAAGUCAGGCUAAUUGUUGAGGUUUUUCACUUUGUUGAUAGUACACAAAAUGUGUAGUACACUUAAUUUCCAGGAGUCAUCCAUGUAAGUUGACAUACAGGUUAAGAAACAAUCUCAGGAACUCCACUAGCUCUUCUGGUCACCACAUGAAGGCGACCCGCAAAAAAUCUGAUGCUUAUUGCAAACUCGUUCUAGCAUUGGAGGGAAAACCUCAACAGCAUCCUGAAGAUGACCACUCUGCAGGACAGGUGUGACAUGGUUCCUAAAUCAGUGAUAAUGAGUGCUUUUUAAAAGUCUUCCAGGGGUGCCUGGCUGACUCUGAAGUCUGCAACUCUUGACAUCAGGUUUGUGAGUUUGAGCCCCAUGUUGGGUGUAGGCAUAACUUAAAAAAUACAAAGUGUUCCAAGUACAAGAGGUUCGGUGACUCACAGUUUUGCGAAUGUUGGGCUGGAUCAUGUUGUUCUAGCCGAAUUUCUCUUACGGUGGAGACCCUGAGUUCCUCGCGCAGAGCUAGAGGGACCUUGGCAUUGGAGCACAAGAGCGUCAGCACCGUCAAAUAAAACUGUCAGCCUGGUGGGGAUGCUCAGUUGGGAAUUCCCUGAAGAACACUUGGUUCUUUGAAGUCAAGUGCUGCCUGUCCAGUUUAACGAAAGGAAUUGCUAAUUACAAGUGUAAAUAGAAAAGUUCUGAAAAACAAUUAUAAACACGUUAAAAUUGAUGUAGAGAGUUCAUGUAAGUUUACUCCCAGGAAGAAACAAGUUUGGAAUAUAUUUGCUGCUUAUUUUAAUUACAACAUAUAUACAGUGUGUGUGUGUGUGUGUGUGUGUGUGAUAAAGUCCACCUAAGUUCAUAAUUUCCCAGGGUUAACUCUUUUCCUGGUGAUAACUACUUUUAAGGUUUGGUGCUUUUUUGGACUUUAACCCUAUAUUAUGUAAUAAAUACACCAUAGUUACUUGUGUACAUACAUUUGUAUAUACACAUGUACAUGUAACAUGGGACCAUUGGCCAUACAGGGUUUCUCAGCUUUUUUAAGGCUAAUUAUGGACAUCUUUUCAUGUCACCAUAUCUAGAUCUACCUCCUCCUUUUUAGCACUCUUGCUAUUCCAUUCUACGGCUGCCCUAUGAUUUGUGUGCACCAACAUUUGUUUCCAGGUGUUUGUUGUUAUACUGCUGCUGCAAAGUACAUCCUUAAGCACAGCUCUUUUGUAUAAUAAUAUUUUGAAAAGUAUGGCAUAAAUAUGAGAUUUCUAUGUAAUGUUCUUAGGGAUAAUUAAAGAUAAUCCUCUUUAGGACUUAUUUUUAUAAUUAUUUGUCCCAUGAUACUUUUCUAUUUUUAAUUUUUUGAGUAGGUAAUACUUCAUGUGUUUUGGAUACAUAGAAAGUUUAAAGUAAGGGCGCCUGGGUGGCUCAGUCCAUUAAGCGUCUGACUUGUGAUUUCAGCUCAAGU
This is a long non-coding RNA of Ailuropoda melanoleuca (giant panda), 3385 nucleotides long. The record is from Ensembl. Lineage: Eukaryota; Metazoa; Chordata; Mammalia; Carnivora; Ursidae.